This 102-nucleotide Y RNA is filed under the name Propithecus coquereli (Coquerel's sifaka). RNAcentral describes it as "Y RNA (ENSPCOG00000010007.1)". It matches the Rfam family "Y RNA". Rfam says of the family: Y RNAs are components of the Ro ribonucleoprotein particle (Ro RNP), in association with Ro60 and La proteins. The Y RNAs and Ro60 and La proteins are well conserved, but the function of the Ro RNP is not known. Lineage: Eukaryota; Metazoa; Chordata; Mammalia; Primates; Indriidae. The record is from Rfam by way of RNAcentral.
CACUGGUCCCAGUGCAGUGGUGUUUACAACUAAUUGAGCACAACCAGUUACAGAUUCCUUUGUUCCUUUUCCACUCCCACUACGUCACCUGACUAGCCUUAA